This 468-nucleotide ribosomal RNA is filed under the name uncultured bacterium. RNAcentral's name for it is "partial 16S ribosomal RNA". It matches the Rfam family "Bacterial small subunit ribosomal RNA", at positions 28 to 507 of the family's 1533-position model. The record is from RNAcentral.
GACGAACGCUGGCGGCGUGCUUAACACAUGCAAGUCGAACGGAAAGGCCCUGCUUUUGUGGGGUGCUCGAGUGGCGAACGGGUGAGUAACACGUGAGUAACCUGCCCUUGACUUUGGGAUAACUUCAGGAAACUGGGGCUAAUACCGGAUAGGAGCUCCUGCUGCAUGGUGGGGGUUGGAAAGUUUCGGCGGUUGGGGAUGGACUCGCGGCUUAUCAGCUUGUUGGUGGGGUAGUGGCUUACCAAGGCUUUGACGGGUAGCCGGCCUGAGAGGGUGACCGGCCACAUUGGGACUGAGAUACGCCCCAGACUCGUACAGGAGGCAGCAGUGUAGAAUAUUACACAAUGGGCGGAAGCCUGAUGCAGCAACGCCGCGUGCGGGAUGACGGCCUUCGGGUUGUAAACCGCUUUCGCCUGUGACGAAGCGUGAGUGACGGUAAUGGGUAAAGAAGCACCGGCUAACUACGUG